Molecule: ribosomal RNA, 234 nt
Filed under: Pneumocystis sp.
Lineage: Eukaryota; Fungi; Ascomycota; Pneumocystomycetes; Pneumocystales; Pneumocystaceae
Description: partial small subunit ribosomal RNA
Rfam family: Bacterial small subunit ribosomal RNA
Source: RNAcentral
CUACAAAAGUUUCUACAAAGGGAAGCAACAAUGAAAAUUAGAGCUAAUCCUCAAAGGAAAUUUCAGUACGGAUAAGAAUCUGGAACUCGAUUCUUUGAAGUUGGAAUUGCUAGUAAUCGUCUAUCAGCAAGAGACGGUGAAACUUCUAUCUGUGAUGUACUAACUACUCGUCAAGCGCGGAUAUUUAUAGGGAAUAUCAAGCUCUGCGUCUAUUCUCUAGAGAUUUGUGCUAAG